RNAcentral lists this ribosomal RNA (308 nucleotides) under Dermacentor auratus. RNAcentral's name for it is "SSU rRNA". It matches the Rfam family "Eukaryotic small subunit ribosomal RNA", at positions 586 to 897 of the family's 1831-position model. Lineage: Eukaryota; Metazoa; Arthropoda; Arachnida; Ixodida; Ixodidae. The record is from RNAcentral.
CAGCUCCAAUAGCGUAUACUAAAGCUGCUGCGGUUAAAAAGCUCGUAGUUGGAUCUCAGUUCCAGACGAGUAGUGCAUCUACCCGAUGCGACGGCUCGGACUGAACAUCAUGCCGGUCCUUUCUUGGUGCACUUCAUUGUGUGCCUCGAGAAGGCCGGUGCUUUUACUUUGAAAAAAUUAGAGUGCUCAACGCAGGCGAGUCGCCUGAAUAAACUUGCAUGGAAUAAUAGAACAAGACCUCGUUUCUGUUCUGUUGGUUUUUGGAAUACGAGGUAAUGAUUAAGAGGGACAGACGGGGGCAUUUGUAU